RNAcentral lists this ribosomal RNA (253 nucleotides) under uncultured bacterium. RNAcentral describes it as "partial 16S ribosomal RNA". It matches the Rfam family "Bacterial small subunit ribosomal RNA", at positions 524 to 776 of the family's 1533-position model. The record is from RNAcentral.
UACGAAGGGGGCUAGCGUUGCUCGGAAUCACUGGGCGUAAAGGGUGCGUAGGCGGGUCUUUAAGUCCGAGGUGAAAUCCCAAGGCUCAACCUUGGAACUGCCUUUGAUACUGGGAGUCUUGAGUUCGGGAGAGGUGAGUGGAACUGCGAGUGUAGAGGUGAAAUUCGUAGAUAUUCGCAAGAACACCAGUGGCGAAGGCGGCUCACUGGCCCGAUACUGACGCUGAGGUGCGAAAGCGUGGGGAGCAAACAGG